Molecule: ribosomal RNA, 606 nt
Filed under: Triticum aestivum (bread wheat)
Lineage: Eukaryota; Viridiplantae; Streptophyta; Magnoliopsida; Poales; Poaceae
Description: partial small subunit ribosomal RNA
Source: RNAcentral
AUGUCAAAAAUGCUUUUUUUUCAUGGCUCUCUUCAAGAAACAGUCUAUUGUCAACAACCUCUUGGCUUCGAACAUUCCUCCUAUCCUAAUCGUGUUUGUCUUCUUCAAAAUUUUCUUUAUGGUCUUAAACAAGCACCACGUGCCUGGUUCCAACGCUUUCCUACUUAUGCUCAAACCAUUGGUUUUACCCCUUCCCGUUCUGACACUUCACUCUUCACCUUUCAUCACAACAACAACACCGCUUACCUUCUUUUAUAUGUUGAUAAUAUUAUCCUCACAGCUUCCUCACAACAAUUUUUAGAUCAUAUUAUCUCUCUUCUUCGCCACGAAUUCUCUAUGACAGAUUUACGUCUUCUUCACCACUUCUUAGGUAUUGAUGUUAUCCGUGACUCCUUUGGUCUUUUCUUGUCUCAACGUCAGUACACUCUGGAUCUUCUUUCUCGUGCUGGUAUGCUUGAUUAUCAAACUUCCCGUACCCCUGUUUAUACAGGUUCCAAACUCUCUGCCGACGGUGAUCCUUUCUCCGAUCCUUCUCUUUAUCGUAGUCUUAUCGGUGCACUUCAGUAUCUCACUCUCACUCAUCCUGAAAUUUCUUUUGUUGUCUAA